AUUGAACGCUGGCGGCAUGCCUUACACAUGCAAGUCGAACGGCAGCACGGGAGCAAUCCUGGUGGCGAGUGGCGAACGGGUGAGUAAUAUAUCGGAACGUGCCCAGUCGUGGGGAUAACGUAGCGAAAGCUACGCUAAUACCGCAUACGAUCUAUGGAUGAAAGCGGGGGAUCGCAAGACCUCGCGCGAUUGGAGCGGCCGAUAUCAGAUUAGGUAGUUGGUGAGGUAAAGGCUCACCAAGCCGACGAUCUGUAGCUGGUCUGAGAGGACGACCAGCCACACUGGGACUGAGACACGGCCCAGACUCCUACGGGAGGCAGCAUGGGGAAUUUUGGACAAUGGGCGCAAGCCUGAUCCAGCAAUGCCGCGUGCAGGAUGAAGG
Molecule: ribosomal RNA, 382 nt
Filed under: uncultured bacterium
Lineage: Bacteria
Description: bacterial SSU rRNA
Rfam family: Bacterial small subunit ribosomal RNA
Source: RNAcentral